Molecule: long non-coding RNA, 1260 nt
Filed under: Pongo abelii (Sumatran orangutan)
Lineage: Eukaryota; Metazoa; Chordata; Mammalia; Primates; Hominidae
Description: lncRNA (ENSPPYG00000037603.1)
Source: RNAcentral
GAGAGGGACAUGCGCAGUGAGUGCCUCCCGUCUCUUCUACCCGAACCCCCCCUCCCCCCCAAGCAGAGAGACCCCAGCAGCAGCAGCAGCUGAUGAUGAAGAGAGAGGCAGUGGCAGAGGGGGGGCAUCUUUUAUUUCUAUUUUUAAAGGGACAGGACACUAAUUCUACCCCACUUCAACCUUGAAUUCAGGGGGGUGGGGGGAAGGCGGCUGAGUUCCUUCCCCCACCCUCCAGCCCUGAGCCCUGAGAGGGGGAUUGAGCCUGAGAGAGAAGGAGAAGGAGUUUCUUCUUCUUCGAAAACCCCCAUCCACGACUCCUACCCCCUCACCCCUCCAACUCGCCUCCCUCCCGAGCCCCCUCCACCCUCCUCCUCUUUGGCCGUGAGAGGAGGAGAGAAAGAAACCAAAAGCCUCUUAGCAACACAGACCCUUUGCUGCUGCUGCUGCUGCUGCUGCUGCUGCUGCUGUUGCUGCUGCUGCUACUGCUGCUGCUGCUACUGCUGCUGCUUGGCCCUGGCUGGAGACAUCUCACUACACCCAGGAGCAGCCACUUCCCCAGCUCUCCUCCUCCUCCUUCGCCUCCUCCUCCUCCACUCCCCCCCUUUAUUACCCUUUGUGUCAUCCUCCACAGCUCCAGGGAAGGCACUCAAAAGUGGGGGGCAGGAAAGACAAUUAUCAACUUUCCAGUUUUCUAUGGAUAUGAAGAUUUACUCCUAGUCAUCAGUGGGACCCCCAUGAAGUCAGCCAGAAAGCCUAUAUCCAACUUAUGUACCUUUGCAAACUUGUCUGGAUUUUGACUGUAUGUGCAAAACAGAUUGUACUUAGCGAUUCAUUAAACAUCUUUUGAUCAUCUGCUGUCUGCCAGGCACUGUGCUAGGCAUCUGAAAAACAAAGAUGGUCCCUGCAGUUUAAUGUGAAGAGCUAUCUUAAUUGUAUUCCACAAGUGUAUUGGUCAUAUCUUUGUUUUGGUGUUUCUACCUAAAUAAAUUUUAUAUUAACUAAAUGGAUACUGUUAGGUGGAAAAAUGCAUGUUUAAGAAGGAUAUUGCUGUUAUUUUAUUAAAAUACAAAUAUAUAAGGAAAAAUUUUCCACUUAAUACUGUAUUCUAGGGAUUUAUAUUCUGUAUAUAGUUAACACAUGUUAGACAAUGAAAAUAGCCUAUGUGGUUGCCUUUGCUGGAUUUUUAUUGCUAACCGUAAUUCUUUUAAGAUGACCAACAAUGUUCAUUAAAUUAUCUCAUUAAAUUUUUCCAAAAAAAAA